GACGAACGCUGGCGGCGUGCUUAACACAUGCAAGUCGAGCGGUAAGGCCCUUUCGGGGGUACACGAGCGGCGAACGGGUGAGUAACACGUGGGUGACCUGCCCUCAGCCUGNGANACNCGACGGGACGUAUAUCGGAUAUGACUCCAUGACGCAUGUUGUGGGGUGGAAAGCCUUGUGCGGCUGAGGAUGGGCCCGCGGCCUAUCAGCUUGUUGGUGGGGUGAUGGCCUACCAAGGCGACGACGGGUAGCCGGCCUGAGAGGGCGACCGGCCACACUGGGACUGAGACACGGCCCAGACUCCUACGGGAGGCAGCAGUGGGGAAUCUUGCGCAAUGGGCGAAAGCCUGACGCAGCGACGCCGCGUGAGGGAUGACGGCCUGG
Molecule: ribosomal RNA, 382 nt
Filed under: uncultured bacterium
Lineage: Bacteria
Description: bacterial SSU rRNA
Rfam family: Bacterial small subunit ribosomal RNA
Source: RNAcentral